Molecule: ribosomal RNA, 232 nt
Filed under: uncultured bacterium
Lineage: Bacteria
Description: partial 16S ribosomal RNA
Rfam family: Bacterial small subunit ribosomal RNA
Source: RNAcentral
UACGUAGGGUGCGAGCGUUAAUCGGAAUUACUGGGCGUAAAGCGUGCGCAGGCGGCGCGUUAAGACAGGUGUGAAAGCCCCGAGCUUAACUUGGGAAUUGCGCUUGUGACUGGCGUGCUGGAGUGUGGCAGAGGGAGGUGGAAUUCCACGUGUAGCAGUGAAAUGCGUAGAGAUGUGGAGGAACACCGAUGGCGAAGGCAGCCUCCUGGGCCAGCACGUGACGCUCGAUGCA